AACACGUCAUUGUCCCCACGGCGUGUGUUGCAGUCCGGUUUGGUGGAUGGUACGGCAGUGCUCCUAGCGAGGCGGAAUUAACAGCGGCGAGCGGUAGAGAGAGGAUACCAAUGUGGAUUGGAAGGAUGCGAAGGAUUUGCAGACCGGCUCUGCAGAAACAAGCACUAUACCAAGAUCUGGCAGAGUCACUCCAUUCGUCAAGAUGUAAAUAGAGCGGCAGCUGCUGCUGCUGCCAUGUCUGGCAGGAUUAAGGGAGUUAGAAGGGCAGGAUUUGCAGGUGGGAAACUGCCACCAGCCACCGCCACCCGGAUUUGAUGUCGUUCCCUGAAUGGUGACCCCAAUAUAGUCAGAUUUGGAACAUGGAAGGAGAGAGCGCCACUCACGGUGGUGACAAACCAUACCCAUUCUCGCAGCGUUUCAGUGACUCGCCUGGACUGACCCAACAGCAGCGUAGUCACACCAAGGAGAAACCAUGGAAGUGUGGGGAUUGUGGGAAGGGCUUCAGAUCCCCAUCCGAGCUGGAAACCCAUCGACGCAUUCACAGUUCGGAGAGACCGUUCACCUGCCCUGACUGUGGGAAGGGUUUCACUCGGUUAACGUCAGUGCUGACGCACAAGCUGGUUCACACUGACGAGAGACCUUUUAAGUGCCCAGAGUGCGGGAAGUGCUUCAAAAGUUCCGGACAACUGUUGAGCCAUCAACGUGUUCACACUGAUGAGAGACCGUUCCGAUGUUCUCACUGUGGGACUGGUUUUAGGCGAUCAUCUAACCUCAGUAUACACCAGCGAAUUCACACUGGGGAGAGGCCGUUCAUCUGCUCCGAAUGUGGGAAGAGGUUCACUCGGUUGUCUCACCUACUGACACACAAGGGAGUUCACAAGUAACUGCUCACUGUUGGGAUUUUGCUUCUAAUCGUAACCAGCACUGAACUCACAUAUUGGAAUCUGAUUUCACUGAUGAUAUUAACUCCAGUUCUCGUCGAUUUGAUUUUUUUUUGCUUAGUAUUAGCAAUGAGCUUUGUGUUCAAGACAGUGUGUUUGUUCUUCGUAAUAUCUCGAAUAUGAGUUUUUUCCACACCUCUCCUUUUCCCCUGUCUCUUCCAUCCUCAACAAUUGCAAGGGGUUCAUGGAGCUUCCUUGAAACAACCUGUCCAGCUGCCUCUGCUGCUUCCCUGUCUUCCCUUGAGCUGAGCUGUCCCUAAAUCUGCCCUUGUUGGAACUCGCUACUUGCAUCUUUCUCCAGUUUCCCUCCUCCAUGCUGUCAUACACUGUGUGUGAUUGGCGAUCUUUAUUGGUUGUCAGUCUUUGAAGGGAGCCCACCAUUCAAACAUAGCUUUUCCCACUGACCUCUCAUUCUAGUCAAUCCUGCCCAACUCUGUCCUUGCCCCUGUUGAAGUGAGCUCUCCUCAAUUCAAAAUCACCAGAACACCAAGUUAUAGUCCAACAGGCUUAAUUGGAAGCACUAGCUUUCGGAGCGCUACUCCUUCAUCCGAAAGCAAGUGCUUCCAAUUAAACCUGUUGGACUAUAAGGUGUUGUGUGAUUUUUAACUUUGUACACCCCAGUCCAACACCGGCAUCUCCAAAUCAUGACUCCUCAAUUGAAAUUUCUAACUCUGGAUUGAUGCUAGUGAUGCUGCUGCAUCAUCCUGCACACAUACAACCACUGUCUCUUAAAUGCUCUGCACUGACACCUUAGCAACUUGGCCCAUGUUGUAGAGAAAAAUUACUCCAGAAUCAGAUUUAGCAGCAAGUCAAAGCAGAGUUGACUAAACAAAAGCUUUUGAGAGCAGCGAGGUCACCCAAAGCGCAGGGUUUCGACCAAACAGUCUCCCUAAUUGCACAGAUCCCCCAGGCCUUUGUAUCCUUAACCACAGCAAAAUGCACCAUUUCAAUCACGUAAACUGUCCUUCAGACAGAACAUCCCAUGCGUAUCAUCCCCGCACAGGUUUCCGCCUGCUGAGACUGCAGCCACUGGCGAAUUUGGGUUUGUGGUUUUGCUCGGUAAUACUCAUACUUCCUGUUAAUCCAGCUUGCUCCUGCAGCAGUCAGCACUUUAGCAAGAUUGAGCACAAAUUGCCACAAAGGUGUGUCAACCAUCCCAGCAUGCUUUACACAUGUAGUCAGCAAUCCCAGAAUGCUCGACUUCACUCCCCCCCCCCCCCCCCCCCCCCCCUCCCCGCCACAACCUUAUGAUCAGAGGCCAUGGUCAACCAGGGAUUGUAGGUGUGACUGCAUUUUUAUUUGUUCAAUGGAUGCAGACUUAUAUAGGAAACUCCCCUGCGUGCAAUCCAGGAUAACGUGUUCCUCGCUGUCCCUUACACUACCAAUGUUCAAUCUAUAUUGGAUAACUGAACUCUCUCAAUAUAACUACACUUUUUCAUUUGCAUCUUUACGGAAUUUCCCUGCAGAUAUGUUCCUCUGCAUUCCUUUCUUUCUAUAAACUUGCUCAGCAACGUUAUUGUAUCUGUUUUGUACCUUGGGUCGAGCCAGAUCAAUUUUGUUCUUGAACCUUUGAGAUAUCCUUGUUGCCCGGAUGGUUGAUGCUCUCCUCAACGGAUAGUGCCACCCUCUUCCUUUUCUAUCUUUUCUAAAAAAUACUUGUGCCCAGAAAUAAUUAACACGCAGUCUCUCCUUGAGACAGCUCUCUGUUAGUGCAGCAAUAGAACCAGUGACUCUUUAUUUUUCAAUCCUUCAAAAAUAUGUGCAAGUAAAUCUUAAUUGUUCUGUCAGUUCUCUGGCUUUUAUCUCAUUGCAUUGCUAUGGUUUCUGAUAUACAUACUUCUUUGUUCUUAGUACCUAAAAUUUAACAAAUUUAGUUGAAUAUAUAACUGAAAAUUUUCAAAUUACAGAGUAGCCCUUUUUUGGUCUUUAACUGAACCUUUAAAAAUAACUAUUAUAAAAUAACUGAAGUAUUCUGAUGCAGAAAUUGCCAUUCUCCUUUUUUUCCAAUAACCUGGUACAUUUAAAUUUAAUUAAAUGUACUCAUCUAAUGCCCCUCAUAGAUUCCCUGCAGUGCGGAAACAGGCCCUUUGGCUCAAUAAUCCACACCGACCCUCUGAAGAGUAACCUCCCAGCCCCAUUUCCCCACUCCUGACUAAUGCACUAACCUACACAUCCUUGAACACUAUGGGCAAUUUAGCAGUCAAUUCGCCCUAACCUGCGCAUCUUUGGACUGCGGGAGGAAACCCACACAGACAUGGUGGUGGUUGGUGGGGGUGGGGGGGGGAGGAGGGAGGAGGGGAGAGAAUGUGCAAACUCCACACAGACAGUUGCCCGAGAGUGGAAUCAAACCUGGGUCCUGACGCUGUGAGGCAGCAGUGCUGACCACUGAACCACUACGUGGCCUCUCAGCGACCAAAGUCUAGAUCAUGAAUAAAAUUUUUUAAAAAAAUGCCAAGGGAUCCAAUACUGAGCCCUGUGAAAAUCCAUUUCAAACCUUCCUCCAACCUGAAAAAUUUCCAAUGACCCAUUACUCUGUUUCCUAUCCCUCAACCAACUUCAUAUCCAUAUCACGUUUCUCUCGAGUUUGCUGUGUGACACUGUAUGGAAUCUCUUCUGACAGAAAGAAAAACCUCCAGCAAGUUAGUGACAUGCCUUUCGUAAAUACAUGCCACCUCUUCCUCACCUACCCACAUUUCUGCAUGUGACUACUAAUUCUAACCCUAAUAGUUGUUUCUCGAAGGUUCCCCACGGCUAGUAUUAAACUGACCACUCUGAAAUUGCUGGGAUAGUUAUUAAACCAAGGAGAAGCUGUUUGCAUUUCUGCAGUUUUGGGGGAGCAAGGAAGACUGAAAGGUUGGGCCCGUCUCCCUGCAAUGUCUUUCAGUGCUGUUUCCUUGGAUGUAUCUUAUCUGUUGAACCGAAAUGUCAGCAUUCUAGUCAAUGUCUCUUCCACGUCAAUUUUCAGUCGUUCUACUGAGUAAGUUUUGUCCUCUGUCACCAUGACCUGGGAAAUAUCUUCACACUAACAUUUCACACGAAGCGGGAGGGGUUUACUGGAUUAUUAUGUCAAGCUCAAAUGGUCAUCAAUGUAGACGUCGUGGAGAAAAUGCAGAGAAUCAGCAGGAGAUGUGGAAACUUUUUCAAGAAGUAGGUCUUUUAUUUGCAAAUAAAAAAAACCGUGAUACUCCAGAAAGCGAAUUCUUGAAGGCAGCAGAACGUCCGGGUCCAUGGCUCUUUCUACCUUUUUGUUAGCAGAUCAGCAUGUCCACCUGUGUUACUCAGAAUUACCUCAGACCAGAUUUACAAGAAACCAAUCAUAUUA
Long non-coding RNA from Hemiscyllium ocellatum (epaulette shark), 4263 nucleotides. RefSeq lists it as uncharacterized. The transcript has 3 exons. The record is from RefSeq and is a predicted model, not a curated record. NCBI's taxonomy places the organism in Eukaryota, Metazoa, Chordata, Chondrichthyes, Orectolobiformes, Hemiscylliidae.